GGUUUAAUGGAAUUUUGACUUGGGAAGAU
RNAcentral lists this non-coding RNA (29 nucleotides) under Cricetulus griseus (Chinese hamster). The record is from RNAcentral. Lineage: Eukaryota; Metazoa; Chordata; Mammalia; Rodentia; Cricetidae.